UAAGACUUGCUCUUAUGAGUUAGCGGCGGANGGGUGAGUACACGUGGGUACCUGCCCAUAAGACUGGGAUAACUCCGGGAAACCGGGGCUAAUACCGGAUAACAUUUUGAACUGCAUGGUUCGAAAUUGAAAGGCGGCUUCGGCUGUCACUUAUGGAUGGACCCGCGUCGCAUUAGCUAGUUGGUGAGGUAACGGCUCACCAAGGCAACGAUGCGUAGCCGACCUGAGAGGGUGAUCGGCCACACUGGGACUGAGACACGGCCCAGACUCCUACGGGAGGCAGCAGUAGGGAAUCUUCCGCAAUGGACGAAAGUCUGACGGAGCAACGCCGCGUGAGUGAUGAAGGCUUUCGGGUCGUAAAACUCUGUUGUUAGGGAAGAACAAGUGCUAGUUGAAUAAGCUGGCACCUUGACGGUACCUAACCAGAAAGCCACGGCUAACUACGUGC
This 448-nucleotide ribosomal RNA is filed under the name Bacillus thuringiensis. RNAcentral describes it as "bacterial SSU rRNA". It matches the Rfam family "Bacterial small subunit ribosomal RNA", at positions 74 to 508 of the family's 1533-position model. Lineage: Bacteria; Bacillati; Bacillota; Bacilli; Caryophanales; Bacillaceae. The record is from RNAcentral.